ACCCGCAAACCUGCAGCCUCGUAACCUAGCAACGGUCUCCGCCGCCACCAUCGACGUCUCCGCCUCACCGCAAUCCCAUCCCUCCGCUUCUCCUUUGCUUCCGCAAUCCCAUCCCCCCUCCCCCGCGCAGAUCGUCAGCACUUACGGCGACUUCCGAAUCUGAAAGAAGCACGCUGCCAUCAAAGAAGAAGUAGCCGCAGCACAAGGGCAACGCGGCGACGUCGGAUGCGGAGGGCGACUUGUCCACGAGCACGAGCGGCGGGAGCGACAAGAGCAGCGUGGUGCAGUUGUGCAGGGCUUCACCCCGUCGACCCCACCGGCAACCGCCAACAGCUUCCGCUCCGGUCGCUGUUCGGCAGCCUCAUGGUGGAGUUGGCAGAUGGAGGUAACUGGGCAGAUGGCACUCCUCCGUGGUGGAUGAGGAAGACGGGGAUUCCAAUCAGGCGCCUUUCUUUGAUGAAUUGGAGCCUGCAGGUCGACCGGAUGACACUUCUCAGCAAACUCGAUCUCAGUAUCUCACCAAGAAGUGCGACGUCGCGGCUAGAGCGGCACGCGCCCACGACGACAACAUUGCUGCGGCAGUUGCAUCUUUGUUUCUCUUUGCUUUUCGAAUUUGUAAAUUGAAACCAGUCUGUAACUUGGCCAUGAAGGCCCGAACCUGAAGGCUAUUGCAGUUAAGCUUGGAGAUCGUUUGGAUCUUCAGGCGCUUCCCUGUAA
Long non-coding RNA from Panicum virgatum (switchgrass), 717 nucleotides. RefSeq lists it as uncharacterized. The record is from RefSeq and is a predicted model, not a curated record. The transcript is spliced from 2 exons. NCBI's taxonomy places the organism in Eukaryota, Viridiplantae, Streptophyta, Magnoliopsida, Poales, Poaceae.